This 70-nucleotide transfer RNA is filed under the name Chelonoidis carbonarius (red-footed tortoise). Its description in RNAcentral is "transfer ransfer RNA-Thr". It matches the Rfam family "tRNA". From Rfam's summary of the family: Transfer RNA (tRNA) molecules are approximately 80 nucleotides in length. Their secondary structure includes four short double-helical elements and three loops (D, anti-codon, and T loops). Lineage: Eukaryota; Metazoa; Chordata; Testudines; Testudinidae. The record is from RNAcentral.
AUUCUAGUAGCUUAAUACUAAAGCAUUGGUCUUGUAAACCAAAGACUGAAAACCACAAUUUCCUAGAAUA